AUGAGUCAUAUUAGCAAGCAGAAGAAUGACACGUCUGCCCCAAUACGUGAUGAUGAUUAUACUGGUCAACGGGGUGAGGAGAUUAGCAAGCAGAAGAAUGAUGCGUCUGCCCCCGUACGUGACGAUGAUUAUACUGGUCAACUGGGUGAGGAGGUUUUUGUUGAUGCGUCAGAUGAUGAUGAAGAUAAGAAGCAAGAGCCCCCUGCUGAAUCUCCUCCGCAUGAUUUUAGUGAUGACUAUGUCAUUGAUGAUGACUGUUUCAAUGGUGAUUCUAAUGGGGGUUGCAAUGGUGUUGAUGACAAUGUUGAUUAUACGGAGGGAGUUUUUGCACCAGACCAGCCAGUAACCCAAGGUGAUUGCGACAAAUCUAAUGAGCCAGAACUUGGGCAGCAAUCCCAUGCUGGUAGUGUUGACAUUUCUGAAGGGAAGCAAGUUGGGUUUGAUUGUCAAGGUGGCUCGUCAGUUACGAUUGAAGGUUUGCUUGAUGCUAGACAGGCGCCUGAAGGUGCUUGUGCGGGUGUGGUUGUAAUGGAUGGCCUUAGUGAUGGUGUGAAUCAUGCAGCAAGUUGUGAAGGAAAACAAGUGAUGAAGGAUACACCUAUGCCUGAAAGCAUUGGAGCUGGAGGUGAUGUAUUUUCUAUUCCGGUGUGCGAAGUCCCUGUUGUUGACGGAGCACGUGCAUCGAACAAGGACGCGAAGCCAGCUGUUGUUUCUGAAUUCCCGAAGGAUGCUGUAGUUGUGGACUCCCACCAGGGUGGUGAUGCUCAUGCUAGUGUAGCAGGCCCCAAGGACGCAGGUGGUUUAAAUGUGUCUCAUGUGAUAGAUAAAUCAAAUGUUGAUAGUGGUGCAUCUGCUCCUGCAACACUUUCUGGGAUUCCUAUACAAGUACCUGAGGGGUUUGCUACGAAGUUGAAAGAUAUAAUUUCAAAAGCUGCGUUCCGUGGUAAUUACAGUACUGAGCCCCAGCCUAAAGUUGAACCCAACAUUGAUGAAGUUGGUGCCGAUGGUGCUUCCGAGGAGACAGAUAGUGACGAAUUGGGAUUGUCAGUAAAUGAGAUAGAUUCAUCUCAAACAGUCUCCAGUUUUACGCAAACCCCGGCUACACCGGAAGCGGUGCAACGCAUGGACUUAUACUUUGCUGUUAUGAGGUUGAGGACAAACAAGAAUAAAAAGGAUGAGGUACUAUUUGAGAAUGCGUUUUGCAAAGCAACUGUUAAGUAG
RNAcentral lists this ribosomal RNA (1221 nucleotides) under Triticum aestivum (bread wheat). Its description in RNAcentral is "partial small subunit ribosomal RNA". The record is from RNAcentral. Lineage: Eukaryota; Viridiplantae; Streptophyta; Magnoliopsida; Poales; Poaceae.